This 827-nucleotide ribosomal RNA is filed under the name Heterorhabditis bacteriophora. RNAcentral's name for it is "eukaryotic LSU rRNA". The stretch from base 395 to 544 matches the Rfam family "5.8S ribosomal RNA". Lineage: Eukaryota; Metazoa; Nematoda; Chromadorea; Rhabditida; Heterorhabditidae. The record is from RNAcentral.
UUACAAAGUAGCUGCAGUCGUAUGAUACCCAUCUGAGAUAUCGGUACCAAUGGAAUCAGGCUUGUUCUUGAUUUCAAUCGGUUUCUCACCCCAUCUAAGCUCAUGGAGAGGUGUCUAGUCCCAAUUGGAGUCGCUUUGAGUGACGGCUAUGAAAAUUGGGUAUGUUCCCCGUGAGGGUCGAGCAUAGACUUUAUGAACAGUGCUGGAGCUGUCGCCUCACCAAAAAAUCAUCGAUAACUGGUGGCUAUGUGUGACAUUAGUCACAUAGGUAUCUGCUGAUGCAGAGAGCCUUAAUGAGUUGUUCGUGUCAUCUGACCUACAACCGCCAGUAUCGGUAAAUCAACCCAAUUAACUUGUUUCUUGUGUCGUGUUAAUACAUACUGGCAAAGUGUAUUAGCUUUAGCGAUGGAUCGGUUGAUUCGCGUAUCGAUGAAAAACGCAGCAAGCUGCGUUAUUUACCACGAAUUGCAGACGCUUAGAGUGGUGAAGUUUUGAACGCACAGCGCCGUUGGGUUUUCCCUUCGGCACGUCUGGCUCAGGGUUGUUUAAUAAGCGAAAGUGUUGAAAGUUCAUUAAACGAGAGUUCGGUGAUACUGACAACACUACGUCGAGCGGUGUACUGUUGAAAGUACCCCGUUCAAGUAUCUUUAUGGGGCAACAUGUCUUCUAUAUGGAGACAUGAAAGAUAUUAAGAGUAUAUACCUGUGGAUGCCCACGUAUGAAAUAUGACGUGUCGUAUACACGGCUAGGAGGUAUGUCUCAGAUGAAUUUGUUUAUGCAACCUGAGCUCAGUCGUGAUCUACCCGCUGAACUUAAGCAUAUACCGG